This 253-nucleotide ribosomal RNA is filed under the name uncultured bacterium. RNAcentral describes it as "partial 16S ribosomal RNA". It matches the Rfam family "Bacterial small subunit ribosomal RNA", at positions 524 to 776 of the family's 1533-position model. The record is from RNAcentral.
UACGUAGGGGGCAAGUGUUAUCCGGAUUUACUGGGUGUAAAGGGAGCGUAGGCGGUAAUGCAAGUCAGAAGUGAAAGCCCGGGGCUCAACUCCGGGACUGCUUUUGAAACUGUGUUGCUAGAUUGCAGGAGAGGUAAGUGGAAUUCCUAGUGUAGCGGUGAAAUGCGUAGAUAUUAGGAGGAACACCAGUGGCGAAGGCGGCUUACUGGACUGUAAAUGACGCUGAGGCUCGAAAGCGUGGGGAGCAAACAGG